AAACAAAGACUGGGUGGCCUGGAUGCGUAUCCUGUCUUACCAGCAAAUCCAGUGUUCAAGAUUGUUUGCAUAACCAAUUCCAGCUUUGGCUCACUUCUGUUCUGAAUAAGCAGUUAAGCAGUUUGGAUAUUUUUCAGUUCCCCGUGGGCUGGCAGAGGAAAGAUAAGCAACACAGAGAGAGGACUGAGCGAUGUGAUCUGUUUAACUUCUGUUAGCCUAUAUGGAUGCACCUCCCUAAAGGUGGUAAAGUGAAGCCAGCUUCAUUCUCAUUGCUGACCAGCGUGCCAGGCAGAAAACCUUUGGAGUACUCCUUUCAUGGGGAGAAAAUGUUCAGUUCUUCAAGCACCCAACCCGUCUGCUGCCUUCUUUACCCUUCAAAAUAUCUGCAGAAGUUUUGAGUAGAUUAGAAACAGAUUAGAGCUGUCACCUGAAAACUGAGAGCACUCUGAACCUUGUGUGGGUUCCAGCUUGAGGGGGCCUGCAGCUGAUACAGGAGGGACUGGGGUGACAUCCAAGCAUUUCAAACCUCCCCAGACCCCCUGCUAUACUCUGCGAGUGGGUGCUAAUGCUCUGCUGCACUGCAGACUCUCCCUACAGAAGUCCCCAAAUGUAUAGUUAGCACCCAAAAUCACACCAGCUAGUGCAUCUGACUUCCAUCAGCAGGUUUGUGGCCAUGAUUUAUUUAUUUUUCUUCCAUCUGCAUGUGAUUUUAGAACAUGACAGAAGCCUGAAAUGGAGACAAACAACCUUCAGAUUCAUUUUCUCUCACACUCAUGGACACAUGCAAGCUUAUAUAAAAAAUAAUUGACCACAGUGGAAAGGUACAGUGUUAAUCCUUUUAAAAAGGCAGAUAUUUGGUUAAUGCCAGCACUUCAGAGGCCCAGACGAGAGUGCAUCCCCCUGAUGAAAGUAGCCUCCAAGCACAAGGUACGAGACGGCUCCUGCCCCCAGGAAUUUGCUGUCUCCACUCUUAACCCGCAUGAAAGGAGUGUAUUAUGCCUGUAGAAUGCACAGGGCUGACCAGGAAACUGAGAGUAGACCCAGGAUCUCCAUCCUGAUACCCUGCAUGGAUGGUGAAAUUUUCCAUUUCUGUUCUCAUAAAUUGAAAGAACAAAGCUUCUGCAAUCAAGGACCUGCUACUUCUGGUACUCUUGGAAGAAAAAAGCAGGAUUUCUACCUAGGACUUGUUUACUUUGUGCCUGAGCUGUUCCCAAGCUUGAUUUCUUCUAAAUUUCUCCAGAAGCUGAAAGAAACUCUGAAAACAAUGUGA
This 1270-nucleotide long non-coding RNA is filed under the name Anas platyrhynchos platyrhynchos (common mallard). RNAcentral's name for it is "lncRNA (ENSAPLG00000026970.1)". Lineage: Eukaryota; Metazoa; Chordata; Aves; Anseriformes; Anatidae. The record is from RNAcentral.